AUUGAACGCUGGCGGCAGGCCUAACACAUGCAAGUCGAGCGGAUGACGGGAGCUUGCUCCUUGAUUCAGCGGCGGACGGGUGAGUAAUGCCUAGGAAUCUGCCUGGUAGUGGGGGACAACGUUUCGAAAGGAACGCUAAUACCGCAUACGUCCUACGGGAGAAAGCAGGGGACCUUCGGGCCCUGCGUUAUCAGAUGAGCCUAGGUCGGAUUAGCUAGUUGGUGGGGUAAUGGCUCACCAAGGCGACGAUCCGUAACUGGUCUGAGAGGAUGAUCAGUCACACUGGAACUGAGACACGGUCCAGACUCCUACGGGAGGCAGCAGUGGGGAAUAUUGGACAAUGGGCGAAAGCCUGAUCCAGCCAUGCCGCGUGUGUGAAGAAGGUCUUCGGAUUGUAAAGCACUUUAAGUUGGGAGGAAGGGCAGUAAGCUAAUACCUUGCUGUUUUGACGUUACCGACAGAAUAAGCACCGGCUAACUCUGUGCCAGCAGCCGCCGUAA
RNAcentral lists this ribosomal RNA (500 nucleotides) under uncultured bacterium. RNAcentral's name for it is "partial 16S ribosomal RNA". It matches the Rfam family "Bacterial small subunit ribosomal RNA", at positions 30 to 523 of the family's 1533-position model. The record is from RNAcentral.